Molecule: non-coding RNA, 102 nt
Filed under: Clostridium sp.
Lineage: Bacteria; Bacillati; Bacillota; Clostridia; Eubacteriales; Clostridiaceae
Also listed under: 1 other name
Description: Guanine sequence
Rfam family: Purine riboswitch aptamer
About the family: Riboswitches are metabolite binding domains within certain messenger RNAs that serve as precision sensors for their corresponding targets. Allosteric rearrangement of mRNA structure is mediated by ligand binding, and this results in modulation of gene expression. A class of riboswitches that selectively recognises guanine and becomes saturated at concentrations as low as 5 nM.
Source: RNAcentral
UUUUAGGUAAAAUUUAAAGCUCAUAUAUUUUCGAAAAUACGGUUCGAAAGUUUCUACAAAGCAACCUUAAAUUGCUUUACUAUGAGUGAAUAUGCUGUUUUU